AGCGUACACGGUGGAUGCCCUGGCAGUCAGAGGCGAUGAAGGACGUGCUAAUCUGCGAUAAGCGUCGGUAAGGUGAUAUGAACCGUUAUAACCGGCGAUUUCCGAAUGGGGAAACCCAGUGUGUUUCGACACACUAUCAUUAACUGAAUCCAUAGGUUAAUGAGGCGAACCGGGGGAACUGAAACAUCUAAGUACCCCGAGGAAAAGAAAUCAACCGAGAUUCCCCCAGUAGCGGCGAGCGAACGGGGAGCAGCCCAGAGCCUGAAUCAGUGUGUGUGUUAGUGGAAGCGUCUGGAAAGGCGCGCGAUACAGGGUGACAGCCCCGUACACAAAAAUGCACAUGCUGUGAGCUCGAUGAGUAGGGCGGGACACGUGGUAUCCUGUCUGAAUAUGGGGGGACCAUCCUCCAAGGCUAAAUACUCCUGACUGACCGAUAGUGAACCAGUACCGUGAGGGAAAGGCGAAAAGAACCCCGGCGAGGGGAGUGAAAAAGAACCUGAAACCGUGUACGUACAAGCAGUGGGAGCACGCUUCGGCGUGUGACUGCGUACCUUUUGUAUAAUGGGUCAGCGACUUAUAUUCUGUAGCAAGGUUAACCGAAUAGGGGAGCCGAAGGGAAACCGAGUCUUAACUGGGCGUUAAGUUGCAGGGUAUAGACCCGAAACCCGGUGAUCUAGCCAUGGGCAGGUUGAAGGUUGGGUAACACUAACUGGAGGACCGAACCGACUAAUGUUGAAAAAUUAGCGGAUGACUUGUGGCUGGGGGUGAAAGGCCAAUCAAACCGGGAGAUAGCUGGUUCUCCCCGAAAGCUAUUUAGGUAGCGCCUCGUGAAUUCAUCUCCGGGGGUAGAGCACUGUUUCGGCAAGGGGGUCAUCCCGACUUACCAACCCGAUGCAAACUGCGAAUACCGGAGAAUGUUAUCACGGGAGACACACGGCGGGUGCUAACGUCCGUCGUGAAGAGGGAAACAACCCAGACCGCCAGCUAAGGUCCCAAAGUCAUGGUUAAGUGGGAAACGAUGUGGGAAGGCCCAGACAGCCAGGAUGUUGGCUUAGAAGCAGCCAUCAUUUAAAGAAAGCGUAAUAGCUCACUGGUCGAGUCGGCCUGCGCGGAAGAUGUAACGGGGCUAAACCAUGCACCGAAGCUGCGGCAGCGACGCUGAUGCGUUGUUGGGUAGGGGAGCGUUCUGUAAGCCUGUGAAGGUGUGCUGUGAGGCAUGCUGGAGGUAUCAGAAGUGCGAAUGCUGACAUAAGUAACGAUAAAGCGGGUGAAAAGCCCGCUCGCCGGAAGACCAAGGGUUCCUGUCCAACGUUAAUCGGGGCAGGGUGAGUCGACCCCUAAGGCGAGGCCGAAAGGCGUAGUCGAUGGGAAACAGGUUAAUAUUCCUGUACUUGGUGUUACUGCGAAGGGGGGACGGAGAAGGCUAUGUUGGCCGGGCGACGGUUGUCCCGGUUUAAGCGUGUAGGCUGGUUUUCCAGGCAAAUCCGGAAAAUCAAGGCUGAGGCGUGAUGACGAGGCACUACGGUGCUGAAGCAACAAAUGCCCUGCUUCCAGGAAAAGCCUCUAAGCAUCAGGUAACAUCAAAUCGUACCCCAAACCGACACAGGUGGUCAGGUAGAGAAUACCAAGGCGCUUGAGAGAACUCGGGUGAAGGAACUAGGCAAAAUGGUGCCGUAACUUCGGGAGAAGGCACGCUGAUAUGUAGGUGAAGCGACUUGCUCGUGGAGCUGAAAUCAGUCGAAGAUACCAGCUGGCUGCAACUGUUUAUUAAAAACACAGCACUGUGCAAACACGAAAGUGGACGUAUACGGUGUGACGCCUGCCCGGUGCCGGAAGGUUAAUUGAUGGGGUUAGCGCAAGCGAAGCUCUUGAUCGAAGCCCCGGUAAACGGCGGCCGUAACUAUAACGGUCCUAAGGUAGCGAAAUUCCUUGUCGGGUAAGUUCCGACCUGCACGAAUGGCGUAAUGAUGGCCAGGCUGUCUCCACCCGAGACUCAGUGAAAUUGAACUCGCUGUGAAGAUGCAGUGUACCCGCGGCAAGACGGAAAGACCCCGUGAACCUUUACUAUAGCUUGACACUGAACAUUGAGCCUUGAUGUGUAGGAUAGGUGGGAGGCUUUGAAGUGUGGACGCCAGUCUGCAUGGAGCCGACCUUGAAAUACCACCCUUUAAUGUUUGAUGUUCUAACGUUGACCCGUAAUCCGGGUUGCGGACAGUGUCUGGUGGGUAGUUUGACUGGGGCGGUCUCCUCCUAAAGAGUAACGGAGGAGCACGAAGGUUGGCUAAUCCUGGUCGGACAUCAGGAGGUUAGUGCAAUGGCAUAAGCCAGCUUGACUGCGAGCGUGACGGCGCGAGCAGGUGCGAAAGCAGGUCAUAGUGAUCCGGUGGUUCUGAAUGGAAGGGCCAUCGCUCAACGGAUAAAAGGUACUCCGGGGAUAACAGGCUGAUACCGCCCAAGAGUUCAUAUCGACGGCGGUGUUUGGCACCUCGAUGUCGGCUCAUCACAUCCUGGGGCUGAAGUAGGUCCCAAGGGUAUGGCUGUUCGCCAUUUAAAGUGGUACGCGAGCUGGGUUUAGAACGUCGUGAGACAGUUCGGUCCCUAUCUGCCGUGGGCGCUGGAGAACUGAGGGGGGCUGCUCCUAGUACGAGAGGACCGGAGUGGACGCAUCACUGGUGUUCGGGUUGUCAUGCCAAUGGCACUGCCCGGUAGCUAAAUGCGGAAGAGAUAAGUGCUGAAAGCAUCUAAGCACGAAACUUGCCCCGAGAUGAGUUCU
Molecule: ribosomal RNA, 2773 nt
Filed under: Escherichia coli
Lineage: Bacteria; Pseudomonadati; Pseudomonadota; Gammaproteobacteria; Enterobacterales; Enterobacteriaceae
Description: bacterial LSU rRNA
Rfam family: Bacterial large subunit ribosomal RNA
Source: RNAcentral